AGCAGCCGCGGUAAUUCCAGCUCCAAUAGCGUAUAUUAAAGUUGUUGCAGUUAAAAAGCUCGUAGUUGAAUUUCGGAAUCUGUCCGUCGGUCGGGCUUCACUGUCCGUACUGGUGUGAUGGGUUUCUACCUUCUGAAUAACCGGCAUGUCAUUAAUUUGGUGCGCCGGGGAAGCAGAACUAUUACCUUGAAAAAAUUAGAGUGCUUAAAGCAGGCUAUCGCCUGAAUAGAUUAGCAUGGAAUAAUAAAAUAGGACGGCAUGGUUCUAUUUUGUUGGUUUCUAGGAUCACCGUAAUGAUUAAUAGGGAUAGUUGGGGGCAUUAGUAUUCAAUUGUCAGAGGUGAAAUUCUUGGAUUUAUUGAAGACUAACUUCUGCGAAAGCAUUUGCCAAGGAUGUUUUCAUUAAUCAAGAACGAAAGUUAGGGGGAUCGAAGACGAUCAGAUACCGUCGUAGUCUUAACCAUAAACUAUGCCGACUAGGGAUCGGACGAUGUUAAUUUUUUAAUGACUCGUUCGGCGCC
RNAcentral lists this ribosomal RNA (520 nucleotides) under uncultured Acaulospora. Its description in RNAcentral is "SSU rRNA". It matches the Rfam family "Eukaryotic small subunit ribosomal RNA", at positions 569 to 1087 of the family's 1831-position model. Lineage: Eukaryota; Fungi; Glomeromycota; Glomeromycetes; Diversisporales; Acaulosporaceae. The record is from RNAcentral.